Molecule: unclassified non-coding RNA, 350 nt
Filed under: soil metagenome
Description: partial contains 5.8S ribosomal RNA, internal transcribed spacer 2, and large subunit ribosomal RNA
Rfam family: 5.8S ribosomal RNA (bases 1-120)
Source: RNAcentral
GAUGAAGAACGUAGCGAAAUGCGAUAAGUAAUGUGAAUUGCAGAAUUCCGUGAAUCAUCGAAUCUUUGAACGCACAUUGCGCCCGCCAGUAUUCUGGCGGGCAUGCCUGUUCGAGCGUCAUUUCAACCCUCAAGCCCAGCUUGGUGUUGGGGAUCGGCACAGGCGCCCUCGGGCGCCCGCCGUCCCCUAAAUCUAGUGGCGGUCCCGCUGCAGCCUCCUCUGCGUAGUAGUUUUCUCCUCGCAAGGGCAGCUCGGUGGCGACCUCGCCGUAAAACCCCCAACUUCUGAAAGGUUGACCUCGAAUCAGGUAGGAAUACCCGCUGAACUUAAGCAUAUCAAUAAGCGGAGGA